This 253-nucleotide ribosomal RNA is filed under the name uncultured bacterium. RNAcentral describes it as "partial 16S ribosomal RNA". It matches the Rfam family "Bacterial small subunit ribosomal RNA", at positions 524 to 776 of the family's 1533-position model. The record is from RNAcentral.
GACGUAGGGCGCGAGCGUUGCCCGGAUUUAUUGGGCGUAAAGGGCGCGUAGGCUGUGCUGUAAGUCAGGCGUGAAAUCCCCGGGCUCAACCUGGGAAUUGCGUUUGAUACUGCGGCGCUGGAAUGCAGGAGAGGAUGGCGGAAUUCCCAGUGUAGAGGUGAAAUUCGUAGAUAUUGGGAAGAACACCGGUGGCGAAGGCGGCCAUCUGGCCUGUAAUUGACGCUGAGGCGCGAAAGCGUGGGGAGCAAACAGG